AGCGAACGCUGGCGGCAGGCUUAACACAUGCAAGUCGAACGCCCCGCAAGGGGAGUGGCAGACGGGUGAGUAACACGUGGGAACGUACCCUUUGGUUCGGAAUAACUUGGGGAAACUCAAGCUAAUACCGGAUAAGCCCUUAUGGGGAAAGGUUUACUGCCGAAGGAUCGGCCCGCGUCUGAUUAGCUGGUUGGUGAGGUAAUGGCUCACCAAGGCGACGAUCAGUAGCUGGUCUGAGAGGAUGAUCAGCCACACUGGGACUGAGACACGGCCCAGACUCCUACGGGAGGCAGCAGUGGGGAAUAUUGGACAAUGGGGGCAACCCUGAUCCAGCCAUGCCGAGUGAGUGAUGAAGGCCUUAGGGUUGUAAAGCUCUUUUACCCAGGACGAUAAUGACUGUACCGGGAGAAUAAGCCCCGGCUAACUUCGUGCCAGCCGCCGCCGUAA
Molecule: ribosomal RNA, 447 nt
Filed under: uncultured bacterium
Lineage: Bacteria
Description: partial 16S ribosomal RNA
Rfam family: Bacterial small subunit ribosomal RNA
Source: RNAcentral